AGUGAACGCUGGCGGUAGGCCUAACACAUGCAAGUCGAACGGCAGCACAGUAAGAGCUUGCUCUUACGGGUGGCGAGUGGCGGACGGGUGAGGAAUACACCGGAAUCUACUUUUUCGUGGGGGAUAACGUAGGGAAACUUACGCUAAUACCGCAUACGACCUACGGGUGAAAGCAGAGGAUCUUCGGACCUUGCGCGAUUGAAUGAGCCGAUGUCGGAUUAGCUAGUUGGCGGGGUAAAGGCCCACCAAGGCGACGAUCCGUAGCUGAUCUGAGAGGAUGAUCGUCCACACUGGAACUGAGACACGGUCCAGACUCCUACGGGAAGCAGCAGUAGGGAAUAUUGGACAACGGGCGCGAGCCUGAUCCAGCCAUACCGCGUUGGUGAAGGAGGCCUUCGGGUUGUGAAGCCCUUUUGUUGGGAAAGAAAAACAGCAUGUUAAUACCCCGCUGUUCUGACGGUACCCAAAGAAUAAGCACCGGCUAACUUCGUG
RNAcentral lists this ribosomal RNA (492 nucleotides) under uncultured bacterium. RNAcentral describes it as "partial 16S ribosomal RNA". It matches the Rfam family "Bacterial small subunit ribosomal RNA", at positions 29 to 507 of the family's 1533-position model. The record is from RNAcentral.